Molecule: ribosomal RNA, 497 nt
Filed under: uncultured bacterium
Lineage: Bacteria
Description: partial 16S ribosomal RNA
Rfam family: Bacterial small subunit ribosomal RNA
Source: RNAcentral
GAUGAACGCUGGCGGCGUGCCUAAUACAUGCAAGUCGAGCGAACGGACGAGAAGCUUGCUUCUCUGAUGUUAGCGUCGGACGGGUGAGUAACACGUGGAUAACCUACCUAUAAGACUGGGAUAACUUCGGGAAACCGGAGCUAAUACCGGAUAAUAUUUUGAACCGCAUGGUUCAAAAGUGAAAGACGGUCUUGCUGUCACUUAUAGAUGGAUCCGCGCUGCAUUAGCUAGUUGGUAAGGUAACGGCUUACCAAGGCAACGAUGCAUAGCCGACCUGAGAGGGUGAUCGGCCACACUGGAACUGAGACACGGUCCAGACUCCUACGGGAGGCAGCAGUAGGGAAUCUUCCGCAAAGGGCGAAAGCCUGACGGAGCAACGCCGCGUGAGUGAUGAAGGUCUUCGGAUCGUAAAACUCUGUUAUUAGGGAAGAACAUAUGUGUAAGUAACUGUGCACAUCUUGACGGUACCUAAUCAGAAAGCCACGGCUAACUACGUG